ACGGAAGGCAGCAGUGGGGGAUAUUGCACAAUGGGGGAAACCCUGAUGCAGCGACGCCGCGUGAGUGAAGAAGUAUUUCGGUAUGUAAAGCUCUAUCAGCAGGGAAGAAAGACUCGUAAGAGAGAUGACGGUACCUGACUAAGAAGCCCCGGCUAACUACGUGCCAGCAGCCGCGGUAAUACGUAGGGGGCAAGCGUUAUCCGGAUUUACUGGGUGUAAAGGGAGCGUAGACGGAUCGGCAAGUCUGAUGUGAAAGCCCGGGGCUCAACCGCGGGACUGCAUUGGAAACUGUCGAUCUGGAGUACAGGAGGGGUAAGCGGAAUUCCUAGUGUAGCGGUGAAAUGCGUAGAUAUUAGGAGGAACACCGGUGGCGAAGGCGGCUUACUGGACUGUAACUGACGUUGAGGCUCGAAAGCGUGGGGAGCAAACAGGAUUAGAUACCCUGGUA
RNAcentral lists this ribosomal RNA (448 nucleotides) under uncultured Butyrivibrio sp. RNAcentral's name for it is "bacterial SSU rRNA". It matches the Rfam family "Bacterial small subunit ribosomal RNA", at positions 341 to 792 of the family's 1533-position model. Lineage: Bacteria; Bacillati; Bacillota; Clostridia; Lachnospirales; Lachnospiraceae. The record is from RNAcentral.